This 281-nucleotide ribosomal RNA is filed under the name uncultured bacterium. RNAcentral describes it as "partial 16S ribosomal RNA". It matches the Rfam family "Bacterial small subunit ribosomal RNA", at positions 337 to 635 of the family's 1533-position model. The record is from RNAcentral.
GCCUACGGGGUGCAGCAGUGGGGGAUAUUGCACAAUGGGGGAAACCCUGAUGCAGCGACGCCGCGUGAGUGAAGAAGUAUUUCGGCAUGUAAAGCUCUAUCAGCAGGGAAGAAAAUGACAGUACCUGACCAAGAAGCCCCGGCUAACUACGUGCCAGCAGCCGCGGUAAUACGUAGGGGGCCAGCGUUAUCCGGAUUUACUGGGUGUAAAGGGAGCGUAGACGGUUAUGUAAGUCUGGAGUGAAAGCCCGGGGCCCAACCCCGGGACUGCUUUGGAAACUG